AUCACAAACACCAGAACCACAGACUCUGGACUUUAUAAGCUACAGGUGCAAGGUACAAACAUACCGACCAAACACAGGAAGUUUCGUGUUACGGUCGAUGAAUCUGGGUUGUCCAUAGGCAUUAUAGUGCUGAUAUGCGUGUGUGUUAUUGCACUGAUCUUGGUGGUGGUUGGGAUUUACUGUCGGCAACGAAGUCGACAAGGCCAGUAUUAACCAAAGUGAAGAUAAAGGAAAUGGGGUACAGGAUCCAUUGAAAGGACAGCAAUAGUUCAGUGCUUCUGUAACAUAAGCUGUGGAUGAAAUCAACCUGUGUGCUGCUGAGUUGUAAUAGAGAAUAUGCUUACAUAUGUUGUACAUUCGUUGGAACAGUUUGCACUACAUGCUGAUCAAUGAUCCUAUUACUUUAUGGUGCACUUCUUUUUUUUGCGUAUAAUUAUAAGAUAUCGUACCUGUUAUUGAUACAUAUAUAGUCAUGGUGGCUGGUGGGACCAUUGAAUGCAGCUUUGAAAGUUUUAGGUGCAAAUUCUUUAGAUCACCUGACAUCUGAAGGUGUCAUUUAAA
This is a long non-coding RNA of Sinocyclocheilus grahami, 561 nucleotides long. RefSeq lists it as uncharacterized. NCBI's taxonomy places the organism in Eukaryota, Metazoa, Chordata, Actinopteri, Cypriniformes, Cyprinidae. The transcript has 3 exons. The record is from RefSeq and is a predicted model, not a curated record.